Molecule: long non-coding RNA, 2465 nt
Filed under: Actinidia chinensis (golden kiwifruit)
Lineage: Eukaryota; Viridiplantae; Streptophyta; Magnoliopsida; Ericales; Actinidiaceae
Description: long non-coding RNA (ACHI_LNC000769)
Source: RNAcentral
UUUCGGCUUUGAUAUCGCAGUUUCAUUCCAGUGAAGUUUGCCCAAAAAGUUGUUACUGCUCUACUAGUGCCGUCCAAUUGGUUUUGACGCCCUAUGAACUGAAGUGGAUGGGUUCUGGGCCUGCAGUAUAUUACGGAUAUUAGCUGAUGCCACAUUUUAGUGAUUGGCUAAGUUGCGAAUUGGGAUUGUUUAAUGUAAGUUUCUUAUGACAAGCAAGGCUUUUGCCGCAUUGAAAGGUUUUAGGCAUCUCCGGGGGUUAAAGGAUUAUUCUGUUGUUCAGCUUUCUUUGCAGUGAACUGGGUUUGUUUGGUUUCGAUUUGUUGCUUGAAAUCGUGAGGGAGAAAUUAGGGCUCCGAAAUGCUUGAGCCUGCGUUCUGUUCUGGUGGGUUUGCAAGGAGUCGUCAAGAAGGUCGUGGGUCUCGGUGGUUGGCAUUGACUGGUAUGUCUUUUUAUGCCAUUUUCCUCUCUUCAUUGCGUACCUGUUACCUAGGAGUAAAAUUUACCAGCAGUGAACCUGUGCCAUGCACAAGAAUUUUCAUUUAAUUUCUAUUCUUUAAAUUAGACUAGCUAUCACAACCGUAAAAUUAGGAUAGCCAUUUUUCAUCAACCCGAAAAUAGAUCUAAGUAGAUAUUUUAGAGUUAACAAUCAAUUUAGAAAAAUGGUUAGCCAAUAGGAUGUUUUAAAAUACUUUUUAAUUAGAUGUUUUAAAUUCAAAAAAUAAUUUAGGGCAUUAAUCAUUAUAGCAAAGUCAUAAAAAAAUAUUUCUAUAUUAUUAUAUAAUUAUUGCCGAGCGACUUGUCAUGAGAAGGUCGUGAGAGCUCCAUUCACUUCUUUUAAACAACAUAUCAUGAGUAAGGUCGGGUGUGAGAUCCAUUCACUUCUUUUUUAAACAACAGAAAACAAUUUAAAUAUCAUCUUAUAUAAAAAAUUAUAUUAAUGAGUAAUUUGAAUAUAGUUUAUUUGACUUAUGUUUUGAACCAAUAUAAAAAUAGAUUAUUCAAUUCAAAUAGAAGUAUUUAAAGUAUUCCCAAUAUUUAUAUAUCAUACCAUGUUAUUGAUUUUUUUACAUUUUAAAAUAGUUUUCAAAGACUACUAUGAAUAUCUCAUUUUAAAAACGGAGUUAUUUGUUUUUGGAUAUUACAUUAUUAACGUGAUGUAUAUUUUUAUCACAGUUUUUUUUCUAGUUUUGUUUUAUUUUUUUUUUUUAAGUACAGAUUUUAUUCAAAACAAUAAAGAAUGACUUGAUUGAAAUUUUGUUUUCUCAUGAACAUCUGGACUGAAUAUUUGCCCUAAGAAUCCAUAAUUUUUUUAGUUUCCAUAACAGGGACAAAGGAAAUAAACUAAGCAUGGGAAGAAAAAAUUUCUCGCUGUAGUUUUUUACAGGGUUGAUUUAUGACAAAUUAAUGUUUUAAACGUACCUUUUAAAGCGUUUUAAUUCUGUAAAAAGGUUUGGUGGAUGUAAUAUGGUUUAAAACCAGUCAUUGUUUCCUUGAUAAUUUUGGAUUCUUGGUUUCCUAUUUACUAAGGAACUUAUCAAUAUGAGUUAAAAAUAGAAGUUAUAAAAAAAAAAAAAAAAUUCCUUUAAUCUUUUCCAUUCUUUGUUUAGCAAUAAAAUAGAUAGAUCCUGGCUAGGGUUCUGGUAGCAUUGGAAAAAGACUAUCCAGAAUCAAUUCCAACAUGGAUUGGGCGAAGGUCCAGUUGGGUUAAUAAGCGUUUUUUGUGGUAUUUUAUUGGGGACAAUUGAUGCAGGAUUUUUUCUAGAAAGUAGAAAUUUGGUUGGGUUGAUUUUUUUUAACUAGAUCUAGGUUUUAGAUGAGAGGGAGAUUCAACGAUUUAACCAAAACACAAAAAAGGCCCGCGUUUGCCGAAAUUUUUUGUUUGGCUUGUGUUUUUACUAAAACAAUCCUAGUUUUUGUUUUCUUGCUAGUUUGGCUUGUUUUUUUUUAUCGAGCAAUGUUUUUUAACUUAGUUUUUCAGGUCGGUUUGACCUAGAUUUUUUAGUAAACCCAGAUUUGAAAAGUUGGUUUAUAUCUCACAUUUUAUAUUUUAGAUCAAAAGUGAAAACAUUACGAUUUUUUAACUAGGUCAAACGGGGCCUAAGUCUGGCUUUCCAACCAUUACUAUUUAUUAUUUUUUAUGUUUUAUAUUAUUUGCACGUGCUGGUAUGCAUGAGGCAGGGGUGUGUGCGAAUAUACAUAAUAAGUCGCCAAAAAAUCUAGUAGGUUAAUGAUAUAUUAGGCUGUUAAUCCCUGGCCUGCUCUUCUUUUUUUUUUUAUGUAUAAUUUAGUACUUCCUUCUUGUAAUAGGAUUAUAUAACGUUUCCAAUUUCUAGAUAUAGUUGUUCUUCAUUCAGGUUAUGUAUCGAAUACGGAUUUAUCAAGGUUUUAAAGACGGAGCUGAAGUGAAGCUGCAGAGGAUGGCUCUGAGUGUUGUGGAGCCUCCCACCGGAAUGAAGAAAAUGGCG